RNAcentral lists this ribosomal RNA (253 nucleotides) under uncultured bacterium. RNAcentral describes it as "partial 16S ribosomal RNA". It matches the Rfam family "Bacterial small subunit ribosomal RNA", at positions 524 to 776 of the family's 1533-position model. The record is from RNAcentral.
UACGUAGGGUGCAAGCGUUAAUCGGAAUUACUGGGCGUAAAGCGUGCGCAGGCGGUUUUGUAAGUCUGACGUGAAAUCCCCGGGCUUAACCUGGGAAUGGCAUUUGUGACUGGAAGGCUAGAGUGUGUCAGAGGGGGGUAGAAUUCCACGUGUAGCAGUGAAAUGCGUAGAGAUGUGGAGGAAUACCGAUGGCGAAGGCAGCCCCCUGGGAUAACACUGACGCUCAUGCACGAAAGCGUGGGGAGCAAACAGG